GAGAGAGAGAGAGAGAGAGUAAUUACAAUGUGCAUGUAAUUGUUAUUGAUUGCCUUGCUUCCAUGAACCAUAUAUAUAUUUCAAUAAUGCCACAUUGCACUAGAAAUAUUGCUGACAAAGAUGUUGAGAGAGAUCAUGGAGAGAGAGAGAGAGAGAGAGAGAGAGAGAGAGAGAGAGAGAGUGAGAGAGAGAGAGAGAGUAUGAAAAGCCAUAACAAAUUUUAUAGUUAUAGGUCAUUUCCCACUUAAUGAGUUGUUAUAGCUGUUAUCAUGGUAAUGUUUUGACCAUGUCUCAGAUACUGCAUGUGCCCAUAAAAAAGUGUAAUCUAGGACACACCCUUUUGUUUUGAUAAUGACAGCAUUUAGCUUUGUAAUGAUAGCUAGUGUAUUUUUUUCUUCUUAUCUACAAAUUUACAUGCGGCUUCCAGAUGAUCUGAAGAUCAGGAAUAUAGAAAAUAUUGUCAAUUUCAUAUUGCUAAUGACCCAGUCAAGUCUGCUGAAGCCCAGAAGUUUCCAGACCAUGACAUUAAUGAAUAUUUCUUGAAUGGAAUGCAUGAGGAUUAAAAUGGAACCUUAUUCUGCCUUUUUACCAACUCACACCAUCUUUUCAAGAUUUAUGGAGCCAACCACAGAAGAAUUUGUUCUAUGCACAUCAUUCAUAACAUUCUUAUUUAUGUUGCAUAACUUUAAAUGUUACUGGAUGAAUUGUGUUCACAUAAUGAAUACCAGCAAACUUUUUAUCGAGUGCACUUAUUUUGUAUUUUUCCUACCCAUCCAUCUAACAUAUGUUUUUAUAUAACAUAUUCAUAUACAUGUAACAUUUUUGGAAACAGCUAUUUUUUUGAAAUUGGAAUUUAGCCUUACUAUUUUAUACAAGUUUUAUUUAAUAUACUCUUUUGUAUACAAACAGAACAAAAAUACUUAGUUACAAUGGGAAAUGGACAUAAUAUAUAUAAAAGUGUCUGAUAAAUGUAUAGGUCUUGUUCAUGAACAGAAGAAAUUGACAGAAAAAAUAUUCAGUUUUAGCCAUGAAAUACAAAUAUUAAUAUUUUUUAAGAAUAUUAUUUAAUCUAAAUAAGAUAUAAAAGUUUUUUCCCCUUUAUUCCAAUGUUUGGAAACAAAUCCAAUAUAUAAUUGAAAUUGCUGUACAGUAUAUCCUAUUGAUUCCUAUAAUAUAUCACUUUAGUUUCUUGAACAGCAUGUUUAUUACUUUUUUUUCUUAAAAUGAUGUAUACAAGGUCAUUAAUUUAUUUUCAUUAUAUUCAACUAGAUACAAAUAGGCCUUCUGCAACUUUUUCAUUGUUUAAAUGGUAUCGAGUGUUAAUUACCUUUCAUAUGAAAAAUGAUAUCUAAAUCUUAAAUUGCUGUACAUUAUAUCCUAUCCAUCUAAUGUAUCACUUUAUUUAUGUUGAACUUCGUGUCUAUUAGUAUUAUGAUCUUUUUAGAAUGAUAUAUGCAAUUUCAUUAAUUUAUUUUUCAUUUUAAGAAAAUUCAUUUUAAAAAAGAUCUCUUACAACCUGUGUAAUUUUUUUUUCAGUUUACAUAACACAGUGUAUUAAUUGAAUGUAGCUGUGUAGAUUUAUACAUGUACCUACAAGCAAUAUACAUUUAAUAUUCACCAGGUACAUGUACCAGCCUACUAUAUUUGAUAAUUAAAUGUACUUCUUUCAUGCAUUUUACUCAUUGUUAUAUGUAUUAUUUAUAAUUAAAAUACUUUGAAAACUU
Magallana angulata is the source of this 1724-nucleotide long non-coding RNA. RefSeq lists it as uncharacterized. The record is from RefSeq and is a predicted model, not a curated record. NCBI's taxonomy places the organism in Eukaryota, Metazoa, Mollusca, Bivalvia, Ostreida, Ostreidae. The transcript has 2 exons.